This 253-nucleotide ribosomal RNA is filed under the name uncultured bacterium. RNAcentral describes it as "partial 16S ribosomal RNA". It matches the Rfam family "Bacterial small subunit ribosomal RNA", at positions 524 to 776 of the family's 1533-position model. The record is from RNAcentral.
GACAGAGGUGCCGAGCGUUAGGCGGAAUCACUGGGCUUAAAGCGUGUGUAGGCGGAUCGUUAAGUACCUUGUGAAAUCCCACGGCUCAACCGUGGAACUGCUGGGUAUACUGGCGGUCUUGAGCCACCUAGGGGCGAGCGGAACAAGCGGUGGAGCGGUGAAAUGCGUAGAGAUCCGGAGGAACACCAGUGGCGAAGGCGACACGCUGGGCCGUACCUGACGCUAAAGCGCGACAGCAUGGGGAGCGAACGGG